RNA transcript from Catharus ustulatus (Swainson's thrush), 2117 nucleotides. It is a transcript of the gene named calcium channel flower domain containing 1, with no coding region annotated. Lineage: Eukaryota; Metazoa; Chordata; Aves; Passeriformes; Turdidae. The transcript has 6 exons. The record is from RefSeq and is a predicted model, not a curated record.
GGGGACCCAGAAUGCAGCUCGAGACAGCAGUGGAGCCGCUCCAGGCCCGCUGGCAUCGCUCUGCAGCCAGACACCCUCCAUUGUCAGCCCUUGGGGGGCACAGCCCUGCAUGGCCACACGGCCACAAGGCCAGGCCUGGCUUUAGGGGCUGUCCCCUGGGCUGGCUGCAGGAGGGGGUGACAGCUGGGGGGACAGCAGGGCUCGCAGCCCCCCGGCAGCCGGGGGGAGAUGAGCUCGCAGGAUGAGCAGUUCCCAGCAGCAGCCCCCGAGCCGGCGGGCAGCGACGAGGGCAUGACCUGGUGGUACAGGUGGCUCUGCAGGAUUGCCGGGGUCAUCGGGGGCAUGUCCUGUGCCUUUGCUGGUCUCUGGAACUGUGUCACCAUCAACCCCCUGAACAUUGCAGCCGGCGUGUGGAUGAUGCUCAACGCUUUCAUCCUGUUCCUGUGCGAGGCUCCUUUCUGCUGCCAGUUCAUCGAGUUCGCCAACGCCGUGUCCGCCAGGGCCGACAGGCUGCGGGCCUGGCAGAAAGCCGCCUUCUACUGCGGGAUGGCCGUGUUCCCCGUGCUGCUCAGCCUGACGCUCACCACGCUCUUCGGCAACGCCAUCGCCUUCGCCACCGGCGUGCUCUACGGCCUGUCGGCCCUCGGGAAGAAGGGAGACGCCAUCUCCUACGCCCGCAUCCACCAGCAGCAGAAGCAGAUGGAUGAAGAGAAGCUCACGGGGACCCUGGAGGGACAGGCUCUCUGAAGGACACAGGGUAGCAUCUCCUGGACACUGAGAUGGUGAAGAGAUGUGGAAAUCCACUCUGCCCUUCCCUCUGUGCUCUCCAUCCCUGCUACACCACGAUUUCCCUGGAUGCUGCAGCAGCUGGAAAUCUCAGGGGCUGGGGCAGGCUGUCCCCUCCUCACACCAGCAGCCAGACCUCAGCAAGUUGCUCCUUCUCCAACCCUCAACCCAGUAUCUCAUAUUUGUUAAUUUUUAAAUUUUUCUUUUUGCUGCAGAGGUGCUGGCUCUCUGAGUGCUGCUUUCCCAGCCUUUUUUCUGUUUUGGAGUGCCCUUUUGGGGACUGCCCUCUGGAUGGGUGAGGAGGGACAGAGGACCUGUUUAGGAGCUCCCUGGGAUGGCCCUUCCCAGGGAAAAACAUCCACUGUCUUCAGGGAAGGGUUUCACUGAAGUGAAGAUAUCAAGACCUGGUCCAUAGCCAUGUGAGAAAGAGAAUGCUCGAGCACAGGGCUGCCAGAAAUCCUGAUCUUCAGAAGGUCAGUGGAAACCAGAGGCCCUUGAGACCUCUUGUAGUCAGGCCAUGCUUAGAAAAAGUUGUGUUCCAGCCAGGGCUGAACAUCUUUCUGGAAAAGGGUCUCAGCAGCAAAGGGUAGGUUUAAUACUGACUGCUUUCUGUGUUUUUUAUUUUGGCCCACCACUCUCCCUCUGUCCUAGGCUGUUUUGAAUUAAUGCUGUGAUAAAGCACAUCUUCUCUUAGGUGAUUUCUCAUCUCCUGCUGCAGGAGAUGAAAAUGGCAGCUGGCACAUCUGGAGGGCUGGCUCAAACAUGCUAUUUCCUUAGGACAGCAGGCUGAAUGUCCCGGGAAGAGCCCUCAGGGUGCCAAGUGCACUUCAGGAGCUUGGAUAAAUGCUUGGGCACAUCAUGUCCCAGCUCAGCUCUGUGCUUCUGCCCUCUUGGGAGGAGUCAGGUUGGGCUGAGCAAAACCAUUUGUUCCUCACAGCCAUAAGCACCUCCUGCAGCCGUGUUUUACCUCGGGUUAGCUCUAAAAAAUGAUGAUAAAAAACUCUUAAUCCUGCAGGACACACAGGAAAGGGGUAAGACUGAUUUGCUACUAACUAUGCAGUUGAAAUCUCAAAGUGAUGGAGGUGGAGGCACUUCCACCCCCCUCUUUGUGGAUGGGUCAAACCCCACGGUGGGAAGGACCCACCCCAGCACAAAGUGUUGUCAGUACUCACUGUGUCUUUCCCACAGGGAAUCACUUGCACUACAGCUGAAUGUUUGUCUGUUCCCAUUCUUUUGUCCUGGGUUUUCUUUGUGAACUGUAUUUGGUCUUGUUCAUUAGGCUUCUAGUGUAAUGUGUGUUUUUAGAGCAAUAAAACGUGGCAGCUUUUUAU